GUAGGGAAUAUUGCGCAAUGGGCGAAAGCCUGACGCAGCGAUGCCGCGUGAGUGACGAAGGUCCUAGGAUUGUAAAGCUCUUUUCUGAGGGAAGAACAUGCCGGGUAGGAAAUGAUCUGGUUUUGACGGUACCUCAGGAAUAAGGAACGGCUAACUCCGUGCCAGCAGCCGCGGUACUACGGAGGUUCCUAGCGUUGUUCGGAAUUACUGGGCGUACAGGGAGCGCAGGCGGACAGGUCAGUUUAAAGUGGAAUCCCAGGGCUCAAACCUGGACGUGCUGUGGAUACUGCCUGUCUUGAGUUCGUGAGAGGAAAGUGGAAUUCAGGGUGUAGCGGUGAAAUGCUUAGAUAUCCUGAGGAACACCAGUGGCGAAAGCGACUUUCUGGCACGAAACUGACGCUGAGGCUCGAAAGCAUGGGUAGCGAACGGGAUUAGAAACCCUAGUAGUCC
This 450-nucleotide ribosomal RNA is filed under the name uncultured bacterium. RNAcentral's name for it is "partial 16S ribosomal RNA". It matches the Rfam family "Bacterial small subunit ribosomal RNA", at positions 354 to 796 of the family's 1533-position model. The record is from RNAcentral.